This 479-nucleotide ribosomal RNA is filed under the name Burkholderia cepacia. RNAcentral describes it as "bacterial SSU rRNA". It matches the Rfam family "Bacterial small subunit ribosomal RNA", at positions 30 to 500 of the family's 1533-position model. The record is from RNAcentral. Lineage: Bacteria; Pseudomonadati; Pseudomonadota; Betaproteobacteria; Burkholderiales; Burkholderiaceae.
AUUGAACGCUGGCGGCAUGCCUUACACAUGCAAGUCGAACGGCAGCACGGGUGCUUGCACCUGGUGGCGAGUGGCGAACGGGUGAGUAAUACAUCGGAACAUGUCCUGUAGUGGGGGAUAGCCCGGCGAAAGCCGGAUUAAUACCGCAUACGAUCCAUGGAUGAAAGCGGGGGACCUUCGGGCCUCGCGCUAUAGGGUUGGCCGAUGGCUGAUUAGCUAGUUGGUGGGGUAAAGGCCUACCAAGGCGACGAUCAGUAGCUGGUCUGAGAGGACGACCAGCCACACUGGGACUGAGACACGGCCCAGACUCCUACGGGAGGCAGCAGUGGGGAAUUUUGGACAAUGGGCGAAAGCCUGAUCCAGCAAUGCCGCGUGUGUGAAGAAGGCCUUCGGGUUGUAAAGCACUUUUGUCCGGAAAGARAUCCUUGGCUCUAAUACAGUCGGGGGAUGACRGUACCGGAAGAAUAAGCACCGGCUAA